GAUAAACGCUGGCGGCGUGCCUAAUACAUGCAAGUCGAGCGGUAAGGCUCUGCACAGGUUAUUUGAUCGAGAUUUAUUCUUACGUUUCCUCCGGCUAGAGGAAGCAAAAGAUCGAAUAAUGUGCGUAGAGUACACGAGCGGCGGACGGCUGAGUAAAGCGUAGGAACAUACCCCAAAGUGAGGGAUAAGCACCAGAAAUGGUGUCUAAUACCGCAUAUGGUCUUCGGAUUAAAGCUUCGGCGCUUUGGGAAUGGCCUGCGUAUGAUUAGCUUGUUGGUGAGGUAAUAGCUCACCAAGGCGACGAUCAUUAGCUGGUCUGAGAGGAUGAUCAGCCAGACUGGGACUGAGACACGGCCCAGACUCCUACGGGAGGCAGCAGUAGGGAAUUUUCCACAAUGGGGCAACCCUGAUGGAGCAACGCCGCGUGCAGGAU
Molecule: ribosomal RNA, 433 nt
Filed under: uncultured bacterium
Lineage: Bacteria
Description: bacterial SSU rRNA
Rfam family: Bacterial small subunit ribosomal RNA
Source: RNAcentral